GAUGAAGAACGCAGCGAAAUGCGAUAAGUAAUGUGAAUUGCAGAAUUCAGUGAAUCAUCGAAUCUUUGAACGCACCUUGCGCUCCUUGGUAUUCCGAGGAGCAUGCCUGUUUGAGUGUCAUGAAAUUCUCAACCUUUUCAGCUUUCUUUGUUGAUCAGGCCUGGAUGUGGGAGUAUGCGGGCUUCUCAGAAGUCGGCUCUCCUGAAAUGCAUUAGCGGGACCUUUGUUGCCUGGCUUUGGUGUGAUAAUUAUCUACGCCAUUGUAGUCAAGCAGCUUAAAAUGAGGUUUCAGCUUCUAACCGUCUCCCCUGAGACAACUUUUUGACAAUUUGACCUCAAAUCGGGUAGGACUACCCGCUGAACUUAAGCAUAUCAAUAAGCGGAGGA
Molecule: unclassified non-coding RNA, 387 nt
Filed under: soil metagenome
Description: partial contains 5.8S ribosomal RNA, internal transcribed spacer 2, and large subunit ribosomal RNA
Rfam family: 5.8S ribosomal RNA (bases 1-120)
Source: RNAcentral